CCUGGCGGCGAUAGCGCGGACCUGACCCCAUGCCGAACUCAGAAGUGAAACGCCGUAGCGCCGAUGGUAGUGUGGGGCUUCCCCAUGUGAGAGUAGGGAACUGCCAGGC
Molecule: ribosomal RNA, 109 nt
Filed under: Pectobacterium carotovorum subsp. carotovorum ICMP 5702
Lineage: Bacteria; Pseudomonadati; Pseudomonadota; Gammaproteobacteria; Enterobacterales; Pectobacteriaceae
Source: RNAcentral